RNAcentral lists this long non-coding RNA (1173 nucleotides) under Callithrix jacchus (white-tufted-ear marmoset). RNAcentral describes it as "lncRNA (ENSCJAG00000080146.1)". Lineage: Eukaryota; Metazoa; Chordata; Mammalia; Primates; Cebidae. The record is from RNAcentral.
AAAUCCUGUAUCUGGUGUCCAAUAUUUUGAAAGCGUCUCUUCCUCACUGGCAAAACCCUAGGCUUAGCAAAAGUAGGAAAGGGGAGUGAAAAGUGUGAUUCCUACUAAGAUGAAAUGGAGAAAAGCACUCGAUAGUUGCCUGAUGCCUUCAGUGUUACGUGCAAAGGAGUGGUUUUGGUAUUUGGGAAAGGCAGGUUAAAGAGCGCUGCUUUACUUAUUUCUUCUUAACGAAUAUGGGAUCAUUUUUUCAUGAUUAAGGUCAAGAGGACCUGCAGUACUUGGGAUAUACCUUGCUAGAUUAAGCAUAUAUAGAUCUCAAACCACUCCAGGCUCAGUAAAUUGCAAUCUUUUGUUUUGUUUUAAACUAAAAUGGCCUAUUUCCACAUUGUCAGAGACACCUAGGAUUUUCGGCUGUAACAUUCUCUGCUUCUAAGGAUCUCAAAACAUUUGAUAGAUGUUUUAUUUUAUACCUUCUUUAUAAUCUUGGAGACAGAAUUCAAGCUUUCAACUGCCUUGCAACAUGACUAUAGGAGCUGGGAUUAGCCCACGAGGUGAGAGGUUGGAGAGUCCCAUCUUUUCUACUCACGCUUCUGUGCUCUAGGCAUGUACUGCCUUUUCCAACUGAGUUUGCCCAGCCCACUCUUAAAAAUAAACCCAGGUUGUUUGCCAAGGGGAUGAAAAGACACUGGGAAGCAAGGAUGCCUGAACCAUGCAGAAUAUAUUGUCCCUUCUUUCUCUUUCCCGGGCUCUUAGGCUUUCCUGGCAGCCUGACUUUGUGGGGAUUCUCAGAGUUUUGCUAUAGGUAAAUGUCUGUGUUUCUGUUGCAUUGCAGAUACAGGGAGCUAAGGAAGGAAGGAUUCCAGGUGAGGAGGACUGAAGGAACUGAAGGCUACCAGAGAAAACCAGAAAAUCAACCUGCUACACCAUAACCUCGUAUCUCACUGGACUCUAAGGCAACUGAGUUGGAUCGAAAUAAACCUUUAUUUCCCUUAUAUUUAUUUAUAUUUAUUUAUUUCCCCUUUAUUUGCCAUCACUGCCACCCAUCUUCUCAAAACACACACACACACACACACACACACACACACACACACACGUGUACAUUCAUUGAAGACCAAGGCCCUGACUCAUAUCCUUUUUCUCCAUCUCUAAAUCUGCCAUUACUUCCCUUAGAUC